UGGGGAAUUUUGGACAAUGGGCGAAAGCCUGAUCCAGCAAUGCCGCGUGUGUGAAGAAGGCCUUCGGGUUGUAAAGUACUUUUGUCCGGAAAGAAAUCCUUGGCUCUAAUACAGUCGGGGGAUGACGGUACCGGAAGAAUAAGCACCGGCUAACUACGUGCCAGCAGCCGCGGUAAUACGUAGGGUGCAAGCGUUAAUCGGAAUUACUGGGCGUAAAGCGUGCGCAGGCGGUUUGCUAAGACCGAUGUGAAAUCCCCGGGCUCAACCUGGGAACUGCAUUGGUGACUGGCAGGCUAGAGUAUGGCAGAGGGGGGUAGAAUUCCACGUGUAGCAGUGAAAUGCGUAGAGAUGUGGAGGAAUACCGAUGGCGAAGGCAGCCCCCUGGGCCAAUACUGACGCUCAUGCACGAAAGCGUGGGGAGCAAACAGGAUUAGAUACCCUGGUAGUCCACGCCCUAAACGAUGUCAACUAGUUGUUGGGGAUUCAUUUCCUUAGUAACGUAGCUAACGCGUGAAGUUGACCGCCUGGGGAGUACGGUCGCAAGAUUAAAACUUAAAUGAAUUGACGGGGUCAUAGCUGUUUCCU
RNAcentral lists this ribosomal RNA (585 nucleotides) under uncultured bacterium. Its description in RNAcentral is "partial 16S ribosomal RNA". It matches the Rfam family "Bacterial small subunit ribosomal RNA", at positions 355 to 1375 of the family's 1533-position model. The record is from RNAcentral.